RNAcentral lists this ribosomal RNA (253 nucleotides) under uncultured bacterium. RNAcentral's name for it is "partial 16S ribosomal RNA". It matches the Rfam family "Bacterial small subunit ribosomal RNA", at positions 524 to 776 of the family's 1533-position model. The record is from RNAcentral.
UACAGAGAGUGCAAACGUUGUUCGGAAUUACUGGGCUUGAAGCGCACGUAGGCGGCGCCACAAGUGUCGGGUGAAAUCCCACGGCUUACCCGUGGAACUGCCUGGCAGACUGUGGUGCUCGAGUGUGGUAGGGGAGAGCGGAACUCCUGGUGGAGCGGUGAAAUGCGUAGAUAUCAGGAGGAACACCGGUGGCGAAGGCGGCUCUCUGGUCCACAACUGACGCUGAGGUGCGAAAGCUAGGGGAGCAAACGGG